Dreissena polymorpha is the source of this 2512-nucleotide long non-coding RNA. RefSeq lists it as uncharacterized. The transcript is spliced from 10 exons. NCBI's taxonomy places the organism in Eukaryota, Metazoa, Mollusca, Bivalvia, Myida, Dreissenidae. The record is from RefSeq and is a predicted model, not a curated record.
UGAGCAUAGCAAGAUACAGGCAACGUUCGAUUCCAGGCAUAGAAGUUGUGUAUUUUAGUUCCCGUUGUGAAGAACCCAGUAGACUGAAGAAAAGCGUUUGUUUUUAGAUAACAUAGCAUGGCCUGAUAUUUUUGGACAACAUUGAAAAAACAUGUUGAUAUAUUUGACGAUAUUCCAAAGUUGUGUCGGUAAUUCCCAAAAUAAAAGAAUAAUCGAGUUAAUUGAGUGAAAACACUAUGGACAAAGAUAUAUGCUAUAUAUUCCGUUAUGUUAUGGCUUAGACUUAGAUAUUAUAUAUCUAUAUCAUGGGAAACAUUACACAAUGUUUGUAUCUCUCUAAAUGAAAGCAUGAUUCUAUAUAUAUGGCAUUUGCUUUACUUUCAAAUUGAAAUAAAAGUCAAAGUUCAUUAAAGGUCUCCGUUCUAACCAAUUUUGCCGGUACUUCCGGUCCGCUGGGAGACCUAUUGCCAGUGGGCACUUCUGUUCAUCAGUUCACCGCCACCGACCAGGAUGACGCCAUUUCCUGUUCCAUCAACGCACCGGAGGGCGCAAAGUUUGGCAUCACUAAGGUGGAUACCGCUACCGGAGCUCAACCUAAGUUUGGUGACGUCAUUACGUGAAUGUGUAGACGUCGUUACGGUUCGACGUCAUGACGAUUGCCACGCUUGAUUACGACUCUGCUACGAGUUACACGAUCACCGUCACGUGUACUGACGCUAUCAACCCUGUGACGUCAUCAAGGACCAUCAACUUAGCAGAUGACGUCGUCCAGCGUCUUCUCGACUACAGAUGUAUCGACCUGCCCCUGUGGCCCUUCAGGGGAGAAAAUAAGGUCACUGAAGUCGAGAAACCCGUUUUCUCCGGACUUCGGCUACGUUGUCGCCGGCACGUAACGACGGCUUUCAGACGGCGACGUUACUUUGCACGUUCAGCGUCACGGACGCCAACGACCAGAGUAUUAUCACGUGCUGGAUACAGGAAUUUAAAGCUGGUUCGGUGGCUGUGCGACGUCAUUGGGGAAGUUCACAACUACGGACCCGGAUACGACAUGUUCUGUGACGUCACCUUUGACAACAGUCUAUGAGAUCAGAAAAAUUGCGUCACCGACCGAUCCCUAGAAACCGGAGUUCGAAGUGUGGAUCAGAAACGCCGUUACCCAGGCGUCUAUCGACUUCAAUGACUAGGCUGUUCCGCUGCCGCUAACAAUCAAGUGCACAGACGGAAACGUUGUCAAUGACAUCACGGGGACGUUUAACGUCAACAUCGUGGACUCGCCACCGGUUUUCACUGCACUGCCUGCUACCGGAUCUAACAUUUUCGACGGUCUCAAACACGCCACCGAAACCCUUCACACAUUCAGCGUCACCGAUAGCGACUACACCGUUACGUGCUCUGCCAGAGCGCCGGAAAACGCCCUUUUUGAAGUGGUCGCCGGCGUGGCACCAAGUAAUAAACUGGAAAAAUCAAUACCAAUUUAAUCCUCGUUCUGGGAAAACUGGGCUUAAUGCAUGUGCUUUAAAAGUCGUCUCUGAGCGGACCCAGGCUAAAAGGAUAUACAGUUAACAUAAGGAUGGGGGUUACGCUAAGAGCAGAGAACGGACCUUACGUCAUCAACGUCGACUGCUCAGAUGGCGACAAUGACGUCACUGUGACGUUCACACAACCAGUGAUGGAUACCCCGCCGACCGUUGUAUCCGGGAUCCCCUGAAGUUCCCCAACGUAUCUGACGCCACUGUCACGCAGACGUUACUCGGGAAGUUUACAACAGACCCAGAUACGGCGCGCUCUGUGACGUCACCAUCCACCACCGUGUAUGAGAUCAGAAAUGUGACGGUGAAUGUUUCUCAGCCAGAAAAUCCUCCAGUAAGGAUAAGAAGUUUAUUGCGGCUGAUGUUGACACAUAUCUCUAUGAGGUUAGGGGAAACAUUGGUGAACGCUGCCUGCCCGACAACACGAAAAUGUUGGCUCUGUACAAGGUCAACCCCAACGCUGAGUGGGUCUUGAAACACAGACAACGCAUGAAAGCCGAUUAACCGCGUCUUAAAAUUGUUCGACAGAGACUGAAAUUUUGCUGGCAGAGAGAAUGGGCAAAACCUCGUAUUUAGCGGUUCUGACAAAAGCCCUCCAUCCCAUUUCUGUGUAUAGCUCUCAUUUCCAUUUAGAGCUCCAAUAACUAUUUUGAGCUCCCAUUUCUAUUUAGAGCUCACUUGUGUUUUUAGAGCCCUAAUGUCUGUUAAGAGCUUCAAUUUAUAUGUAUUGCUCCCAUUACUAUUUAAAGCUUCUUUGUUAUUGUACGUUUUCUGCAAAGUAUUAUACAUGUAUUAUAAUUACUGAUGCUGGCCCUUUUUGACCCAUAUCCGACAGUGUUGUCUCAUUACAUUUAAUGUUAUGUGCAUCACAAAUGUUGCGCUAAGUUAUUUCGUGUGUUUGUAUACUAGAUGACUAUUAGGAAUAUGUACUAUAAUAGUAAAUAUGGCUAUACACAUGUUAUUAAAUACGUCUGAAGAUGAAA